Molecule: long non-coding RNA, 1282 nt
Organism: Armigeres subalbatus
Lineage: Eukaryota; Metazoa; Arthropoda; Insecta; Diptera; Culicidae
Exons: 3
Source: RefSeq, a predicted model, not a curated record
GAAAGGCUACCACAGUGAAACAGCAGCUGCCGAGAAAAUUUAGUUUUUUACAGACAGCAACGCCAUUAAGGCGUCUUGCUCCAUUCGUAGUGUUGUUGUGUUCCUUGAGCUAUUUUCUCAUUUAAGUUAUUGACUCCUAUCCAACUAUACAAUGGCUCACUUCUAAUUUACCUUGAAUAAGUCAUGGGAGACUAAUGAACGUUUGAACAAAUCGGAAAAUCAAUCACGGUGCAAGCGAAAAAUUUCAGCGUUGUGAGCAUUCAACAUCGAUCGAUUCUAUGCUGACCAGGAAGAUUGUGAAUUAUUGUGAGAAAAGGGCAUAGCUCCCCGGAUUAUGAAGGAAAUGAUGGUGAUGAAAUUUGUGCAGACUAUGAUGAUUUUACUGGUUUAUUUUAAUUGUGACGUGAUAUAUUUUAAAAAGAAUAUCAAUAAACAUUAAAGUGGAAAGAGCUCUCACAGAGUUCACAUAAGCGAAAUCAAAACGAAGGAAAUAAUCAAAAUAUUGAUCUUCAAAUCUUCAACGAAUACACUGUCAGCGAAAGGGCGCGUGAUCGGGCCUUCCCUUGCUUGAACCAAAUCAUAUCGAAAGGGACAAAUUCUGAAGGCAGAACAAUCGAUCGACCAACAGGAUUAUCUGAUCUUACAGCAUCCGGGGUUCGAGUGCUUUGGUUACACUUUGCACUUUCGUUACACGCUACGUGUUUGUUGGUAUACAUACGAUCAACCUAAGGAACUAGUGAGGCGCGCGAUAAGGCCCGAGAGGGCAAAGGUGUGCGCGAGUGAGUGUGUGUGUGUGUGUGGGAAGGGGGCGCGGACGUGCGGACUAUUAUUGUUCGACCUACGAGGCGAACUCUAUAUAAGUUGUGGAGGCCUCCGACGUACACUCAAGUUGGACAAAGCAGUCGCGCUCAAGCGAUUGGACAGAUCAGAUCGUCUUGUUAGUGACUUCGCCGCCUAGAUAGUGUGUAAGUGCAGUUGAGUGAGGCGCAGCAGCAGCAGCAGUGAAUAAAAAUAGUUACAUUAUUUGCCUACACUCGUUAGGAAACGGUUGUGUAGAUGAACUAUAAACACUUAGUGAAUUGUGCCAGACAGUUUUAAGUUACUCGAUUUGUUUUCAUUUGACUUGGUCCCAUCUCUGGUGAAUAUUUUCUUGAGCGGAACGAGAAAAACAACUUUUUAAAAAGGGGCGCAAAACAAUUUUUCUUCUUGUGGCUUAGGCCGUUGUAUGGAGCGUGAAAAAUCAACAACAUCAAAAGGGGACGAACCGGGCCUGACCGGCAAA